Molecule: ribosomal RNA, 578 nt
Filed under: Streptomyces chattanoogensis
Lineage: Bacteria; Bacillati; Actinomycetota; Actinomycetes; Kitasatosporales; Streptomycetaceae
Description: bacterial SSU rRNA
Rfam family: Bacterial small subunit ribosomal RNA
Source: RNAcentral
CAGUCGAACGAUGAACCUCCUUCGGGAGGGGAUUAGUGGCGAACGGGUGAGUAACACGUGGGCAAUCUGCCCUUCACUCUGGGACAAGCCCUGGAAACGGGGUCUAAUACCGGAUACGACACGGGGUCGCAUGACCUCCGUGUGGAAAGCUCCGGCGGUGAAGGAUGAGCCCGCGGCCUAUCAGCUUGUUGGUGGGGUGAUGGCCUACCAAGGCGACGACGGGUAGCCGGCCUGAGAGGGCGACCGGCCACACUGGGACUGAGACACGGCCCAGACUCCUACGGGAGGCAGCAGUGGGGAAUAUUGCACAAUGGGCGAAAGCCUGAUGCAGCGACGCCGCGUGAGGGAUGACGGCCUUCGGGUUGUAAACCUCUUUCAGCAGGGAAGAAGCGAAAGUGACGGUACCUGCAGAAGAAGCGCCGGCUAACUACGUGCCAGCAGCCGCGGUAAUACGUAGGGCGCAAGCGUUGUCCGGAAUUAUUGGGCGUAAAGAGCUCGUAGGCGGCUUGUCGCGUCGGAUGUGAAAGCCCGGGGCUUAACCCCGGGUCUGCAUUCGAUACGGGCAGGCUAGAGUUCGG